This 547-nucleotide long non-coding RNA is filed under the name Salmo salar (Atlantic salmon). RNAcentral describes it as "lncRNA (ENSSSAG00000110941.1)". Lineage: Eukaryota; Metazoa; Chordata; Actinopteri; Salmoniformes; Salmonidae. The record is from RNAcentral.
AUGUUUACUCACCGGUCCAGAGCCUGUUAACACAGCACACUUAAUUUCACUCCCUCAUACCUCAUGAAAUCACCACUUAUACUCUGUGAAAUAGAUGUUUUAAAUGGUUAUAUGAUGAUUAUAAUUAAAUGACGGAUUGGUGGUAACACAAAUGCAUUGGUUUUAAUAAAACAAAGUUAAACGUCAUUUCGAAGUCUAUGUCCAUGGUCCUCCAAGAAAGAGGAUAGUCUACUCUUCUAUUCAUCGAAGUCGGAUGGAGAGUGAGGUAGUGAAGCAAAGAUUACAGCUAACACCUGAAUGUGCGAGCAUUCACUACAGCAUUAAAAGUUGGAGCAUGAAACACGUGAAGAACAGAUGGAGAGGGAAUUAGAUCACUAGAAAGCAGCAUGCAGACAGACCAGGGCCCGUAUUUACAAAGCAUAUCAACAGUCGUUUCACCACAGGACCCUUGAGGUCACUGCAUGCUGUGACAGACCUGGAUGGUGACACACAUCUUCUUCAAGCUGCCUGACUGAAUACUGGGGCCUUCAGUAGUACCGGAAGCAAG